AUGUUAAUCAUGAUGUGUGAUAGUAUAAUUGUCUUUCCUUAAAAAUCAUCAAAUCCUUUCUUAAUGUUACCCAAUGAAUGUGACAGCUCAAAUUCCAGUCCAGACCUUUAUUGUUCUAAUUCUGAAGAAUUAACUCUUCAAACCUCACAAAUGUAUAUUUUAGUGGCUGAUCGUAUGCUCUUUGUACAGCACUGCUAAUGAGCAGGUCAGCAGAAAGUUGUUUGUUUUAGUUCUGUG
Molecule: non-coding RNA, 237 nt
Organism: Pelobates cultripes (western spadefoot toad)
Lineage: Eukaryota; Metazoa; Chordata; Amphibia; Anura; Pelobatidae
Source: the annotation of a GenBank genome assembly